This 182-nucleotide microRNA precursor is filed under the name Oryza sativa Indica Group (long-grained rice). RNAcentral describes it as "MIR812 microRNA precursor family". It matches the Rfam family "MIR812 microRNA precursor family". Lineage: Eukaryota; Viridiplantae; Streptophyta; Magnoliopsida; Poales; Poaceae. The record is from Rfam by way of RNAcentral.
AAAAAGAUAAAUCCUGGGUUUCCGUGCCAACGUUUGACUGUCCAUCUUAUAUAAAUUUUUUUUAUAAUUAGUAUUUUCAUUGUUGUUAGAUGAUAAAACAUGAUUAAUACUUUAUACGUGACUUAUUUUUUUUUAUAAUUUUUUCAAAUAAGACGGAUGGUCAAACGUUGGACACGGAAGCU